This is an RNA transcript of Neoarius graeffei (lesser salmon catfish), 2089 nucleotides long. RefSeq lists it as uncharacterized. NCBI's taxonomy places the organism in Eukaryota, Metazoa, Chordata, Actinopteri, Siluriformes, Ariidae. The record is from RefSeq and is a predicted model, not a curated record. The transcript is spliced from 5 exons.
CUGAUGAGACGGUGUAUGAGUAGGUCAGUGUGUGUUUUGCUCCAAUUCUCUCUUUGGAUGAAUGUGUGUGUUUGGGUCCUCAGUAAGAAUGCAGGUGUGUUUUCUUCUCCUCCUGAUACAGCUUCAUAUCACUGAAGGCUGCAGGCUGGAAGGAAAGAAAGACUUAAUAGAAAUCACUGCAUACACAGGAGGCUCAGUACUGCUGCCCUGCUCCUGCACUGACCUCCACACCACACCUGAGACAUUCACAUGGGAGAAAUACAUAACAAAUGAAAAGAAAUGGGUAAAGAUAUCUCCUGAGAGUGAGCAGUACAAAGAGAGAUUUCAGCUGGUUAAUGAUCGCUCUUCAGGAAAUCUCUCUCUGCUCAUAUCACACCUGACUGAAGAGGAUGGAGGAGAUUACAGGUGUAGUGUUAAAGGGAGUCAAUACAGAGACCUCAGACUCACUGUUAAAGGUUGCACACUGAAUCAACCGACAGUGACUGUGACUGGAUACGUGGGACAGUCUGUCCUUCUGCCCUGCUCCUGCUCUGAACUACAAGCCAAACCACACACUUUCACAUGGACGUUUUUAAAUGAUUCUCCUCACAAAGAAAUCUUCCCAAAGGACCAGACAAAUCUCUACACAAACAGAGUUCAGCUCUUUAAUGAUCAUCUUCCAGGAAAUCUCUCUCUGCUCAUAUCACACCUGACUGUAGAGGAUGGAGGACGGUACAGGUGUAGGAUCAGGAACAGAAUCUCAGACGUCCAUCUCACAGUAAGAGGGGCAGUGAAGGCGAGCUACAUCAUCGCCUGGGAGAUCGCAAAAGUGUCCAAGCCAUUUUCGGAGGGUGCAUUCGUCAAGGAUAAAUACGCAUCUGUUGGAAUCCAAUCUUUCUAUCAGUCAUUGCCACCAGAGUACCCAAUUAUCACGGCCUUUGCCGGUAAAAUACUCUGUAUGUUCGGGACAACAUAUUUAUGUGAACAGGCAUUUUCAGUAAUGAAUAUUAAUAAAUCGAAACUGCGUAGUCGUCUGACCCAUGGACAUCUCAACGAUGUCAUGAAAAUAGCAACUGCCCAGAGUCUGUCCCCCAAUGUCGACAAGCUGGUAAAAAGUAAAAGACUUCUGGCUUCCACAUGUAAAAUGUAGCUGGUAUUUCUCCCCAUGUAACCUUGUGCUGUGUGCUUGAGGGGGAAUAAACAGGAUGGGUGUGUGGAAAUAUAUGUGGGACUUGACCAGCAAAGUUAAUGUGCCAUCUGUAGUUUGUUUUUAUUGGUAUGUUCUGUUUUUAUUGGUAUGUUCAGUCAUAUUUGGCUCUUUUAAACUAAUGCUACUGGAUAUUUAGUCACUUGACCUAUUGGUGGAAUUAUUUACCCUGGCACUUCUUUCUUUUGACUCGUUUAGGCCUACUUGCCAAUCGUUUUAAUUGGCCUAAUUAGGCCUAUGCAUUGACAUGUUUUUGAUGUGCAAGAUCAAUAAAUCUGAUCCAAGUCAUUUACAGUUUACACUUGUGUUAUUUGUGUUUUAGUCCAUUUCUGUAGCAUUUUUUUUAUAAAUGUAGGCUACUUGCAUGCUUAGACUGUUACAUUUUCAGAGGGUAAAUUGCUUUUGUCUGCCAUGUUAUUGUGCGCCUCAUUUUGAGGCUAUAGCUUUACAAUUCCUUUUGGGCGUAUAGGCCUUCAAAAAUCAUAUAAAAUAAUGUCCUUUUGUUGAGUUAGUGUCUGGUCUUUUCAGGCCAAAAGUGUAAUUCGGCCCCCAAGGUCCCACUUGAAAAAAAUCUGGCCCCCUUACCAAUUUCACCCUGGCACCCUAAACCUUUCUCUCCUUGCACACACACCGACAAAACCUUCAACAUCCUCACCAGUGACCAGAACAACUUCACCUCAUUCCAAACCAGGUACCACACACCACUGAUACACACUGGAAUGAAAAGGGCUUAUUAGUGUGUUAGUACAUCAGCUCACAGCAAGAAUCACACACUAACUUUAUCUGGUCUUUCACUUUCUGCAGGUGUCACAACAACAAAAAAAUUAACCCCAGUGGUUAAUGACAAAACAACUGCACCCUCUGAAACAGAGACUCCCACAAACCUGAAUCCUCGCAUCAUCA